RNAcentral lists this ribosomal RNA (253 nucleotides) under uncultured bacterium. Its description in RNAcentral is "partial 16S ribosomal RNA". It matches the Rfam family "Bacterial small subunit ribosomal RNA", at positions 524 to 776 of the family's 1533-position model. The record is from RNAcentral.
GACGAACCGUCCAAACGUUAUUCGGAAUCACUGGGCUUACAGAGUUCGUAGGCGGUCUGGAAAGUUGGGUGUGAAAUCCCUCGGCUCAACCGAGGAACUGCGCUUGAAACUACCAGACUCGAGGGAGAUAGAGGAAAGCGGAACUGAUAGUGGAGCGGUGAAAUGCGUUGAUAUCAUCAGGAACACCGGUGGCGAAGGCAGCCCCCUGGGUUAACACUGACGCUCAUGCACGAAAGCGUGGGGAGCAAACAGG